GACGAACGCUGGCGGCGUGCUUAACACAUGCAAGUCUAGCGGAAAGGCCCUUCGGGGUACUCGAGCGGCGAACUGGUGAGUAACACGUGAGUAACCUGCCCCAGACUUUGUGUUAACCCUCGGAAACGGGGGCUAAUACCGGAUACGACACAGCUUCGCAUGGGGUCUGUGUGGAAAGUUUUUCGGUUUGGGAUGGGCUCGCGGCCUAUCAGCUUGUUGGUUGGGUGAUGUCCUACCAAGGCGACGACGAGUAGCCGGCCUGAGAGGGCGACCGGCCACAAAGGGACAGGAACACGGCCCAGAGUCCGAAGAGAGGCAGAAGGACGGAAUAGUGCACAGUGGGCGGAAGCCUGAUGCAGAGACGCGGCGUGGAGGAUGACGGGCUUAGGGUUGUAAACAUCUAUCAGCAGGAAAGAAGCGUAAGUGACGGUACCUGAAGAAGAAGCGCCGGCCAACUACGGG
Molecule: ribosomal RNA, 462 nt
Filed under: uncultured bacterium
Lineage: Bacteria
Description: partial 16S ribosomal RNA
Rfam family: Bacterial small subunit ribosomal RNA
Source: RNAcentral